Molecule: long non-coding RNA, 1877 nt
Organism: Oreochromis niloticus (Nile tilapia)
Lineage: Eukaryota; Metazoa; Chordata; Actinopteri; Cichliformes; Cichlidae
Exons: 3
Source: RefSeq, a predicted model, not a curated record
CAAGGUGUGCACUCCUGGUUUGUCCAAUCAGGGUCUCCCUCCUCUAAUUAGUUGGACAUCCCCAGAUUGACAUCAGCCUGCAGUCUGCGACCUAAGGGAAUAGCAAACAAAAGGAGAGGGAAAGAAAACAUGCAGCCUGCAGACACGUAACAAGGGCAAAGAAAACCAGUCCUCCACCCAAAGUAAUAGCUGUAGCUGUUGUGAGAAUGGAAAAAGGACAGACUUACCUGCAAUGAUGCCUCAUCUUAAGCACAUGCCAUCAUGAGCCUUUCUCAGCAAUGAGAGAGCUGUAAAUACAAGAAAAGGCUGUGUCUCCAGGUUCAUGACGAAAUCCCGGGAGCAUCAUCUGGGCUCUCUCUUGUUGUGCGUCACGUAUCCGGGGUCUACCUGGCAAAGUUCUUCAGCGUUUCCCAUGUUGAUUCUGUGGAUCGAGUCUCUUCUGCUGUGAAGCUCAGGACCUUCAUCUUCUUCAGGGCCUCGGUAGCCACCGCUGCACUGUUAUAAGUUAUGAUGCUGUCUCUGAGGAAGACACAGUUUCGCUGGUGGAAGCAAAUUUCUUUUUCUUUAAGCCAUAAGAAAGUAAAUUCCCACUCCAUUCAGAGGAACCUCAUUCCCUUUCUUUUUCCUGGCAUUCUGCGGUGAGUUCGGGCCUAGAGCUCUGUGACAUCUUUGUAUUCCCAGCUCAGUAUCACUUAGGGACAACUCUGAUUUAACAAAAGUUUCUAAAAACACUGAAGGGUAAGUUCUUCCCUUCAGUGUCUUCAGGCAUUCUGUAUACACAAAUAUUAUUUCUUUGUGACUGGAAGUGAGUAAAAGGAUGAGUUGCCUUAAUAUUUAGUUUAAAUGCAUAUUAAGGUUUUAAAAAUGUAAAUGCAAGAAAGUGAAAAUAACUGUAUGCUUGUAUGUAAAGUUUAAUCCAUAUCUGUGUCACACUGUUAAUUGUUACCAUACCCAUGGUUUGCAAGGUUUUAAGGAUGCUUAGGUAUUGCAUUUUUCUUAAUAGAAAAGCAUUUCUUUCUUCACCAUUUUAUUAGAUUUUAACAGACACAGCUUUGAAACAUGAAGGCAUUGAUUAUAGAAAUUGCUGGGCACCAUGUGGAUGUUGUGGGUAAAAGUUCUGUAAAGAUCUACUGAGAUAACUGUACCUGCACAGUUGCAGCCCAUUGUGACACACGAUGCCAUGGUAUGAUUUCAGAUGAAACAGCCUCAGUUACCAUGAAGUCCCCCUGCAGUCACUCUCAAAGACAAGAUUGAUAAAAAGCAAUUAUUUACCCCCAACCAGCUUUAUCUUUUUCAGUAUUUUCCAUUUUUCAUGUUUAACUGUUUCUGUUAGAACUUGUCAAUGAACAUUUCUAUUCUUCCUUUUUUCCUUUUUAGGUUCUGACUUUACAUCCUAAAUAUCAUUGUGCCCUUGUCUUCUUUCAUUGCUGUUUUUAUCCCCCCGCCCCUUUAAAAAACUGCUCACUAGCCUGAUCUGUGUUAGACUGUUGUAUUAUUUAAUUAACAAAAAGUGAGUACCAUUGCAAAAUCUCAAAAAAGAAAAAACUAAUUCAUCACUUCAGCACUGUAGUAAGGAUGUUUUUCUUUUUUGAUUAAUGUGCUAUAGAGCUAGAGAAGACCGCAGUUUUGGGAAGGUGUCACUGACCCUUUUCAUAUUGCUUUUAUUUUGUUAAUUACACUCAUAGUGAUGACAGAACAUUUCCUGUUUCUACAGUAAAAGUCUGCUGAGCUAAGGGCAAGACAAAAUGUUUUGGAACUUGACUGUAACAUUGUAUAGACAUACAAGCAAAUGCAAUUUGUCAUGGUCCUGGGUUUUGUAAUCUAGCCUUCUCUGUAUCACUCUGCAGCUUGUUAAGUCUGUAUCUCUGUUACUGAUU